RNAcentral lists this long non-coding RNA (423 nucleotides) under Mytilus galloprovincialis (Mediterranean mussel). The record is from RNAcentral. Lineage: Eukaryota; Metazoa; Mollusca; Bivalvia; Mytilida; Mytilidae.
GUUUAUCCGUCCUGUAUGUUCUCCCAUUUAUUUUUAUUGUAGUCCUGUCGUGUAAUACUGUCAUUUUAAUGUUAUAUUUAACAUUGCCAUACAAGCAGAUGGUUUGGCUAGCCACAAAAACCAGGUUCAACCCACCAUUUUUUCUAAAAAUGAUCUGUACCAAGUCAGGAAAAUGGCCAUUGUUAUAUUAUAGUUCGAUUCUGUGUGUGUUUCAUUAAAGUGUUUUUUCUGUUGUGUCGUUGUUCUCCUCUUUUAUUUGAUGUGUUUCCCUCAGUUUUUGUAUCUAACCCGGAUUUGUUUUUUCCUCAAUCGAUUUAUGUAUUUCGAACAGCGGUAUACUACUGUUUCCUUCAUUCAUGUUAGUUUUUGAUAACCAUGGCAAUGUAUAUUGAAUGCAAAGAUCAAGAAAAUCAGCAUUAUAUU